AAUGAGCCUGCGAGUUGUGGUGUCUGGCAAGGUUAAGCAAACGCGAAGCCGUAGCGAAAGCGAGUCUGAAUAGGGCGCUUAGUCAGAUGCUGCAGACCCGAAACGAAGUGAUCUAUCCAUGAGCAAGUUGAAGCUAGUGUAAGAACUAGUGGAGGACUGAACCCAUAGGCGUUGAAAAGCCCCGGGAUGACUUGUGGAUAGGGGUGAAAGGCCAAUCAAACUUCGUGAUAGCUGGUUCUCUCCGAAAUAUAUUUAGGUAUAGCGUUGUGUCGUAAUAUAAGGGGGUAGAGCACUGAAUGGGCUAGGGCAUACACCAAUGUACCAAACCCUAUCAAACUCCGAAUACCUUAUAUGUAAUCACAGCAGUCAGGCGGCGAGUGAUAAAAUCCGUCGUCAAGAGGGAAACAACCCAGACUACCAGCUAAGGUCCCUAAAUCUUACUUAAGUGGAAAACGAUGUGAAGUUACUUAAACAACCAGGAGGUUGGCUUAGAAGCAGCCAUCCUUUAAAGAAAGCGUAAUAGCUCACUGGUCUAGUGAUUUUGCGCGGAAAAUAUAACGGGGCUAAAGUAAGUACCGAAGCUGUAGACUUAGUUUACUAAGUGGUAGGAGAGCGUUCUAUUUGCGUCGAAGGUAUACCGGUAAGGAGUGCUGGAGCGAAUAGAAGUGAGCAUGCAGGCAUGAGUAGCGAUAAUUAAUGUGAGAAUCAUUAACGCCGUAAACCCAAGGUUUCCUACGCGAUGCUCGUCAUCGUAGGGUUAGUCGGGUCCUAAGUCGAGUCCGAAAGGGGUAGACGAUGGCAAAUUGGUUAAUAUUCCAAUACCAACAUUAGUGUGCGAUGGAAGGACGCUUAGGGCUAAGGGGGCUAGCGGAUGGAAGUGCUAGUCUAAGGUCGUAGGAGGUUGUACAGGCAAAUCCGUAUAACAAUACUCCGAGAACUGAAAGGCUUUUUGAAGUCUUCGGAUGGAUAGAAGAACCCCUGAUGCCGUCGAGCCAAGAAAAGUUUCUAAGUUUAGCUAAUGUUGCCCGUACCGUAAACCGACACAGGUGGGUGGGAUGAGUAUUCUAAGGCGCGUGGAAGAACUCUCUUUAAGGAACUCUGCAAAAUAGCACCGUAUCUUC
RNAcentral lists this ribosomal RNA (1121 nucleotides) under Campylobacter jejuni. RNAcentral describes it as "partial 23S ribosomal RNA". It matches the Rfam family "Bacterial large subunit ribosomal RNA", at positions 614 to 1737 of the family's 2925-position model. The record is from RNAcentral. Lineage: Bacteria; Pseudomonadati; Campylobacterota; Epsilonproteobacteria; Campylobacterales; Campylobacteraceae.